UGAUCCUGACCGCGAUGCGGUGCGUUGC
RNAcentral lists this small RNA (28 nucleotides) under Bombyx mori (domestic silkworm). Its description in RNAcentral is "ovarian small RNA-8314". Lineage: Eukaryota; Metazoa; Arthropoda; Insecta; Lepidoptera; Bombycidae. The record is from RNAcentral.